Molecule: transfer RNA, 64 nt
Filed under: Luffa acutangula (angled luffa)
Lineage: Eukaryota; Viridiplantae; Streptophyta; Magnoliopsida; Cucurbitales; Cucurbitaceae
Description: tRNA-Val
Source: RNAcentral
AGGGCUAUAGCUCAGUUGGUAGAGCACCUCGUUUACACGCGCGCCAAUGUUUUUUAUAGCCCUA